UUCUUAGUAAAUGCUCUAUUUCCUCCAAAAUAUCUUCCUCGAAAAUUGUUCAUCAAUUGAUUGUUCCUAUCAUCGCCAGUACUCGGCUUCCACGUGGCAAUUUCACAGCCAGACACGUGGUCGUACAAGAUUGCUUCAUAUACAGCUGCAUUUCCUUCAGCUUCUUGGUCCCACCUCCAAUUUUUCAUCUUUGAUCUUGUUGCCAUCUUUGCCCUCGCCUUCACUUCUGGUUGUUUUGGAUUACCGAAAUUACCCUUUAGGACUCUUUGCAUUUCGAAUUCACGCUCAACGUUGUUAGUGGACCGGCCCAAACUUAACCCGCCCACAUAAUUUGCACCCACUUCUGGCCCAACCCAAACUCGAAUCCUAGAUGGAAAGUGCUUCUCUUGCAAAUAAGAACCCUCCUCU
This 408-nucleotide long non-coding RNA is filed under the name Nicotiana tabacum (common tobacco). RNAcentral's name for it is "long non-coding RNA (NTAB_LNC013067)". Lineage: Eukaryota; Viridiplantae; Streptophyta; Magnoliopsida; Solanales; Solanaceae. The record is from RNAcentral.